AAGUGGUAGGAGAGCGUUGUAUUUAGCGUCGAAGGUAUACCGGUAAGGAGUGCUGGAGCAAAUACAAGUGAGCAUGCAGGCAUGAGUAGCGAUAAAAGGGGUGAGAAUCCCCUUCGCCGUAAACCCAAGGUUUCCUACGCGAUGCUCGUCAUCGUAGGGUUAGUCGGGUCCUAAGCAAAGUCCGAAAGGGGUAUGCGAUGGAAAAUCGGUUAAUAUUCCGAUACCAAUAUUAGUGUGCGAUGGAAGGACGCUUAAAGUUAGUGGAGCUAGCGGAUGGAAGUGCUAGUCUAAGGAUGUAGAUUAAGUGGUAGGCAAAUCCGCCACUUUUUAUUCGAGAUCUUAAAGGCUCUCUAAAGUCUUCGGAUAGCGGGGAGAAUCCAUGAUACUAUCGAGCCAAGAAAAGUUUCUAAGUUUAGCUAAUAUUGCCCGUACCGUAAACCGACACAGGUGGGUGGGAUGAGUAUUCUAAGGCGCGUGGAAGAACUCUCUUUAAGGAACUCUGCAAAAUAGCACCGUAUCUUCGGUAUAAGGUGUGCCUAACUUUGUUAGUGGAUUUACUCUACAAAGCAUUGAAGGUUACAACAAAGAGUCCCUCCCGACUGUUUACCAUAAACACAGCACUCUGCUAACUCGUAAGAGGAUGUAUAGGGUGUGACGCCUGCCCGGUGCUCGAAGGUUAAUUGAUGGGGUUAGCAUUAGCGAAGCUCUUGAUCGAAGCCCGAGUAAACGGCGGCCGUAACUAUAACGGUCCUAAGGUAGCGAAAUUCCUUGUCGGUUAAAUACCGACCUGCAUGAAUGGCGUAACGAGAUGGGAGCUGUCUCAAAGAGGGAUCCAGUGAAAUUGUAGUGGAGGUGAAAAUUCCUCCUUCCCGCGGCAAGACGGAAAGACCCCGUGGACCUUUACUAUAGCUUGACACUGCUAUUUGGAUAAAGAUGUGCAGGAUAGGUGGGAGGCUUUGAAGCUAGGACGCCAGUUCUAGCAGAGCCAUUGUUGAGAUACCACUCUUCUUUAUUUGGGUAGCUAACUAGCUUGAGUUAUCCUCAAGUAGGACAAUGUCUGGUGGGUAGUUUGACUGGGGCGGUCGCCUCCCAAAAUGUAACGGAGGCUUACAAAGGUUGGCUCAAAAUGGUUGGAAAUCAUUUGUAGAGUAUAAAGGCAUAAGCCAGCUUAACUGCGAGUCAUACAAGACGAGCAGAGACGAAAGUCGGUCUUAGUGAUCCGGUGGUUCUGUGUGGAAGGGCCAUCGCUCAAAGGAUAAAAGGUACCCCGGGGAUAACAGGCUGAUCUCCCCCAAGAGCUCACAUCGACGGGGAGGUUUGGCACCUCGAUGUCGGCUCAUCGCAUCCUGGGGCUGGAGCAGGUCCCAAGGGUAUGGCUGUUCGCCAUUUAAAGCGGUACGCGAGCUGGGUUCAGAACGUCGUGAGACAGUUCGGUCCCUAUCUGCCGUGGGCGUAAGAAGAUUGAGGAGAGUUGACUCUAGUACGAGAGGACCGAGUCGAACUGGCCACUGGUGUAUCAGUUGUUCUGCCAAGAGCAUCGCUGAGUAGCUAAGCCGGGAUGUGAUAAGAGCUGAAAGCAUCUAAGCUCGAAGCCAACUCCAAGAUGAAUCUUCUUUUAAGAGCUCUAGUAGACUACUAGUUUGAUAGGCUGGGUGUGUAAGUGAUGAGAGUCAUUUAGCUGACCAGUACUAAUAGCUCGUUUGCUUAUCUUA
Molecule: ribosomal RNA, 1712 nt
Filed under: Campylobacter magnus
Lineage: Bacteria; Pseudomonadati; Campylobacterota; Epsilonproteobacteria; Campylobacterales; Campylobacteraceae
Description: partial 23S ribosomal RNA
Rfam family: Bacterial large subunit ribosomal RNA
Source: RNAcentral